GUCUGUUUGGAGUUGUAAACAGUCUAGCCUGCCCACUGAUUAAUAAUUAAAGGGCCGCGGUAUUUUGACCGUGCAAAGGUAGCAUAAUCGUUAGUUUCUUAAUUGGGAUCUUGUAUGAAUGGUUGGACAAAAGAAGAUCUGUCUUUAUAAUAAUGGUUGAAUUUAACUUUUAAGUGAAAAGGCUUAAAUGGAUUAAAGGGACGAUAAGACCCUAUAAAGCUUAAUAUUCUUGAAUAGUAGGCUUAAUUUUGAAUUUAUAAAAGUCUAUUAUAAAAUUUUUAUUGUGUUGGGGCGACAGAAGUAAAAUGGUUAGUAACUGCUUUAGUUUAAGACAAAUUAUUGUUGAGUAAAAGUAGUAAAGGAUCCUUAGUAAGGAUUAAAAGGUUAAGUUACUUUAGGGAUAACAGCGUUAUUUUUUUUGAGAGUUCUUAUCGAAAAAAAAGUUUGCGACCUCGAUGUUGAAUUAAAAUUUCUUUGCAAUUGCAGGAGUUGCUAAAGAAGGUCUGUUCGACCUUUAAAUUUUU
Molecule: ribosomal RNA, 524 nt
Filed under: Geograpsus grayi
Lineage: Eukaryota; Metazoa; Arthropoda; Malacostraca; Decapoda; Grapsidae
Description: partial 16S ribosomal RNA
Rfam family: Archaeal large subunit ribosomal RNA
Source: RNAcentral